Molecule: ribosomal RNA, 379 nt
Filed under: uncultured bacterium
Lineage: Bacteria
Description: bacterial SSU rRNA
Rfam family: Bacterial small subunit ribosomal RNA
Source: RNAcentral
UAACACGUAGGGGGCAAGCGUUGUCCGGAUUCAUUGGGCGUAAAGAGCUCGUAGGCGGCUCAGUAAGUCGGGUGUGAAACCCUCAGGCUCAACCUGGGGACGCCACUCGAUACUGCUGUGGCUAGAGUCCAGUAGAGGAGUGUGGAAUUCCCGGUGUAGCGGUGAAAUGCGCAGAUAUCGGGAGGAACACCAACGGCGAAGGCAGCACUCUGGGCUGGAACUGACGCUGAGGAGCGAAAGCGUGGGUAGCAAACAGGAUUAGAUACCCUGGUAGUCCACGCCGUAAACGUUGGGCACUAGGUGUGGGGCCCCUCCAACGGGUUCCGUGCCGUAGCUAACGCAUUAAGUGCCCCGCCUGGGGAGUACGGCCGCAAGGCUA